RNAcentral lists this ribosomal RNA (468 nucleotides) under uncultured bacterium. RNAcentral's name for it is "partial 16S ribosomal RNA". It matches the Rfam family "Bacterial small subunit ribosomal RNA", at positions 28 to 507 of the family's 1533-position model. The record is from RNAcentral.
GACGAACGCUGGCGGCGUGCUUAACACAUGCAAGUCGAACGGAAAGGCCCUGCUUGCGUGGGGUUCUCGAGGGGCGAACGGGUGAGUAACACGGGUGUAACCUGCUCUACUCUUUGGGAUGACUUCAGGAAACUGGGGCUAAUCCCGUAUAGGAGCUCCUGCUGGAGUGUGGGGGUGGGAUAUUUUCGGCGGGUGGGGAUGGACGCGCGGCUUAUCUGUUUGUUGGUGGGGGAGGGGCUUACCAAGCCUUUGACGGGUAGCCGGCAUGGGAGGGGGACCGGCCACAUUGGGCCUGCGGUAGGGCCCAGACUCCUACGGGAGGCAGCGGUGGGGAAUAUUGCACAAUGGGCGGAAGCCUGAUGCAGCAACGCCGCGUGCGGGAUGACGGCCUUCGGGUUGUAAACCGCUUUCGGCUGUGACGAAGCGUUAGUGACGGUAAUGAGUAAAGAAGCACCGGCUAACUACGUG